GAUAUUUUCUUCUCUCUCUACCACCUUUCCACCUUUGUAAUAGUACCAUGCCCUUCUUCAAACCAGACUCAUCUUAUGAGAAAAGCUGAUGAGUGAUUCUCUUCUAAUCUGUGAAUCAUUCAAAAUGAAAAACCAUUCGAUCAUUCUCUUCGCCGAUCGCGCUCGUGCUUCGCUUGUCGUCGCCAAACACACGUUCUGUGACCUAACGUGGAGAAUGAGGAAGCUAUAGAAUAGAGACGGAUCUGCCAAGGUUGUUCUAUUGCAUGAUUGAAGCAUCCGCAAGAAAAGCUCCUUUUUUUGUUAUUAUUGGCAAUCUGAUACUGAUUUUAUGUGCCAAUAGUUCACAAAAAUUUCAUGGAUCCGUUGCAUGCCUCCUUCUUGGUUCCUUUCCCAGAUCAUUCGUUUGUAUGUGUAUCUAGGGUUCGCCAGUAACGAUUCAUUCCUUUGUUCGCAAUUAUGAUCCAGUUCUAGCAAUUGGUAUCAAAGCUGAAUUUCGAACUAAUGGGUAUUGCAAACAAAUAAAGAUUUUAAGCCUUUAUGGUUUGUAUGAGAAAUGGGCACAAGAUUGAAAUCGGUGGAUAGAUGUUUUGAGGAAGAAUGCAUAUCGGGGAAAGAUAGGAAGGAGCGACAGAUCCACUGCAAGGUGCAAGAGGUCCGACUCAAGGAAGUUGAGGAAAUGGUUGAAUGAUUGAUAUUCUUGUUGUUCAAAUUGUAGCGAGCGGGCAUCGAACUACGCAGAAUGUCACAUCUCAGAAUGAGGAGUCCACGACAAUUGUUUAGGGAUCAAUAGAGAAAACUUCAACUUUAGAUUCCCAUUUCGUAAUGUUGGGAGAAGACGCAUUCAGGUGGACCAGUGGGCUGGGAGUUGGAACGGUAAUUUUGCAUCAAAGAAGCAACAAGUGAAAGCAAGCUCUAUGGUUGCGCUAGAGGGUUGAGCUUUGGGUUGGUUUCAUGGUGGGGUAAUUACAACCCACUUACUUUUUGGGAGCAAUUCAAGGCAACGCUAUAAAGAGAUUCUAACCCUUCUUGAUAAAAAAUCCCUUUUGAAAUCUGAUAGGUACCCAGAUUUUAUUUAAACUGUAAAGACUUCCAAGACAGGUUCUUGGAUGUUCACCCAGAAAAACCAGACAGCUUUAUUAACAAUGAAACAAGCACAGUAAUCCAGACUGUUACACUAUCCCUGGUCUUUCGAGAGGAUCAGACUCUCCCUAGCCUUCCCUUUACAAACUUCCUAAAAAACUGCCAAAAACAACUGUCUACAAAGUAUGAGACAACAAAACCUACCCAUAGACAGUUGUCCCUUUUAUUUCUCCUAAUAUAAACAUUUCCUUUGAACCUAUCAAAAUCUUUCUAUAUCUGCUGCAAAUAGAGGUGGUUGUAGAUAUGGUUGAAAAUUUUCUCAGAUAUCCAGAGCUUUUGUAGGGAAAUUGAGCAACAUUUUAUGUGUAUUUUCUUGAACUGAUUAAAAGAGGAGGUGCAAACAGAGGUGAGACUUUGUGAUCUGUGGUCUCUCAAAUUGAUAGAGAAGGCAGUGAUUACAACCCGCAUACUUCUUGGGAGCAAUUCAAGGCAACGCCAUAAAGAGAUUCUAACCCUUCUUGAUAAAAAAAUCCCUUUUGAAAUCUGAUAGGUACCCAGAUUUUAUUAAAACUGUAAAGACUUCCAAGACAGGUUCUUGGAUGUUCACCUAGAAAAACCAGACAGCUUUAUUAACAAUGAAACAAGCACAGUAAUCCAAACUGUUACACUAUCCCUGGUCUUUCGAGAGGAUCAGACUCUCCCUUGCCUUCCCUUUACAAAACUUCCUAAAAAACUGCUAAAAACAACUGUGACUUUAUAAAAGUAUGAGACAACAAAACCUAUCCAUAGACAGUUGUCCCUUUUAUUUCUCCUAAUAUAAACAUUUCCUUUGAACCUAUCAAAAUCUUUCUAUAUCCGCUACAAAUAGAGGUGGUUGUAGAUAUGGUUGAAAAUUUUCUCAGAUAUCCAGAGCUUUUAUAGGGAAAUUGAGCAACAUUUUAUGUGUAUUUUCUUGAACUGAUUAAAAGAGGAGGUGCAAACAGAGGUGAGACUUGUGAUCUGUGGUCUCUCAAAUUGAUAGAGAAGGCAGUGAUUACAACCCACAUACUUCUUGGGAGCAAUUCAAGGCAACGCUAUAAAGAGAUUCUAACCCUUCUUGAUAAAAAAAUCCCUUUUGAAAUCUGAUAGGUACCCAGAUUUUAUUAAAACUGUAAAGACUUCCAAGACAGGUUCUUGGAUGUUCACCCAGAAAAACCAGACAGUUUUAUUAACAAUGAAACGAGCACAGUAAUCCAAAAUGUUACACUAUCCCUGGUCUUUCGAGAGGAUCAGACUCUCCAUAGCGUUCCCUCUACAAAAGUUCCUAAAAAACUGCUAAAAACAACUGUCUACACAGACUUUAUAAAAGUAUGAGACAACAAAACCUACCCAUAGACAGUUGUCCCUUUUAUUUCUCCUAAUAUAAACAUUUCCUUUGAACCUAUCAAAAUCCUUCUAUAUCUGCUACAAAUAGAGGUGGUUGUAGAUAUGGUUGAAAAUUUUCUCAGAUAUCCAGAGCUUUUAUAGGGAAAUUGAGCAACAUUUUAUGUGUAUUUUCUUGAACUGAUUAAAAGAGGAGGUGCAAACAGAGGUGGGACUUUGUGAUCUGUGGUCUCUCAAAUUGAUAGAGAAGGCAGUGAUGGUAGACAAGAAUCAAGUAUUGGCAAUAGAGGUUGACAUGAAAAGUGAAGUGACGUACUCUAAAAGUGGGGUGAAAUUGUGAGAUCAGGUACUGUACUUAAUAGAAUUUUCAAGCAAUGGAAGACCUGAAAGGUAGAUUGGGAAGAUUCCAGCCUUUGUUAGAGAAAGAGAUGGAGGAAAGGAUUGGAUCAAGAAAAUGAGGUCUAAGGGGAAUGACAUUCCUAGUGAAAGGCUCAAGGGACUGAAUGUUCCAUUAUUAGUCCUAGGGAUCGAAUGUUACAUUAUCAAUCCUAAGGAUCGAAUGUUCCAUUAUUGGUCCCAUGGUGAGUGUCACUGUUCCAAUCCCUAGUUCAUCGAGUGAUAUUUUAGGAUCAAUUACCAUACAUCCGAGUUAUUUUUGCUUUUUUGUGCUCAGACAUUGUAAUGCCAGACUUCUUUUUUACUCGGACGUUGAAAUGUUGCGCUUCUCUUGUCGUUGAGAUGCUCUUGUAUGAUACUGGGACGUUGAGAUGCUCUUGUACUUGACACUAGAAUGUUGGGUUGUUCUUGCUCGUGUAUUCUGGUGUUGGAACACUGAUCUGCUUUUAUACUCGAUCACCUAAAUGACGAGGUGAUCAUGUACUCGGAGAGUUGCUCUUGCACUUUAGUCGAUUAAGAUUGUGUACCCGUCAGUUGGUAAUGGUGAUAGUGAUAACUCUUGGCUGGUAUUUCUCACGGUUAUGAACAUGGUUGUCACAACUCCAUAUGGUAGUGUGGAGUUGUGCACAACUUCAUUGUUUUGGUUAUGCUCAUGGUGACAGUCCCGAUCAGAAGGGUGUAUUCCUACAGUCAAUGACUUGAUGCUCUACUCUUGUAGGUUAUGGGACCUGGCCACCCUUUCAUGUUGGUGAGGUGGAGUGUGAUCUCUCUUCGUCGUUCGUGACUCGUGGUCUACUUUGUUGAUUCGGACAUUUUAGAGAUCAAGAUUAUUGUUUUUUGGAGUAGAUGUGUGAGACUCUCCUAUUUGGAUAGAGUUCGACACUUUUCGGGUUGUUACUCUCGAAAUAAUAGAAAUGAAAUGAGUCGAGCUUUUAUCGUCGAGCUUCAUGUGGGUGAGCCUUGUUACCGAGCUUGCCGAGUUAUAUUACUGAGCUUAUCUGUCGAGCUUAUGCGUUCCUUUCUGUUAUGUAGGCACUAUGUUGUAUAUAUCAAUAAUGUUCAUUCGUUGUCUUGCAAGUCAUUGUCCAUGAAUGCAAAGUCUUCAUAUGAAGCGUUGGAUUUAUCCUUCAACAUGUCAACGAAGCCAUGUGUUUCUAAGAGUUAUUAUUUGUAGAGAUUUAUUAUUUCUUGA
This is a long non-coding RNA of Vigna angularis (adzuki bean), 4030 nucleotides long. RefSeq lists it as uncharacterized. The transcript is spliced from 4 exons. The record is from RefSeq and is a predicted model, not a curated record. Lineage: Eukaryota; Viridiplantae; Streptophyta; Magnoliopsida; Fabales; Fabaceae.